AGCGCCACCGGGUCGACGCCACGCGUGACUACGAGGUAGUCACGCAUCACCACGGAGUGCUUGUUCUC
Molecule: small RNA, 68 nt
Filed under: Rhodococcus sp. RD6.2
Lineage: Bacteria; Bacillati; Actinomycetota; Actinomycetes; Mycobacteriales; Nocardiaceae
Description: ASdes TB sRNA
Rfam family: ASdes TB sRNA
Source: Rfam by way of RNAcentral